Molecule: ribosomal RNA, 253 nt
Filed under: uncultured bacterium
Lineage: Bacteria
Description: partial 16S ribosomal RNA
Rfam family: Bacterial small subunit ribosomal RNA
Source: RNAcentral
UACAGAGGGGGCGAGCGUUGUUCGGAAUUACUGGGCGUAAAGGGCGCGUAGGCGGCCUCUUAAGUCGAACGUGAAAUCCCCGGGCUCAACCCGGGAACUGCGUCCGAUACUGGGAGGCUUGAAUCCGGGAGAGGGAUGUGGAAUUCCAGGUGUAGCGGUGAAAUGCGUAGAUAUCAAGAGGAACACCUGAGGUGAAGACGGGUUGCUGGGCUGACACUGACGCUGAGGCGCGAAAGCCAGGGGAGCAAACGGG